GACGAACGCUGGCGGCGUGCUUAACACAUGCAAGUCGAACGGAAAGGCCCUGCUUUUGUGGGGUGCUCGAGUGGCGAACGGGUGAGUAACACGUGAGUAACCUGCCCCUGACUUUGGGAUAACUUCAGGAAACUGGGGCUAAUACCGGAUAGGAGCUCCUGCUGCAUGGAGGGGGUUGGAAAGUUUCGGCGGUUGGGGAUGGACUCGCGGCUUAUCGGCUUGUUGGUGGGGUAGUGGCUUACCAAGGCUUUGGCGGGUAGCCGGCCUGUGAGGGUGACCGGCCACAUUGGGACUGCGAUACGGCCCAGACUCCUACGGGAGGCAGCAGUGGGGAAUAUUGCACAAUGGGCGGAAGCCUGAUGCAGCAACGCCGCGUGCGGGAUGACGGCCUUCGGGUUGUAAACCGCUUUCGCCUGUGACGAAGCGUGAGUGACGGUAAUGGGUAAAGAAGCACCGGCUAACUACGUG
Molecule: ribosomal RNA, 468 nt
Filed under: uncultured bacterium
Lineage: Bacteria
Description: partial 16S ribosomal RNA
Rfam family: Bacterial small subunit ribosomal RNA
Source: RNAcentral